GCCGGUGAUGAAUGUAAAAUUAUGGUUGAUUGCAGAAAAUGCAAACGCAUAUUGUUGAUAAAUUUGUACUAGGACGGUCUGAGGC
Spinacia oleracea (spinach) is the source of this 85-nucleotide non-coding RNA. Lineage: Eukaryota; Viridiplantae; Streptophyta; Magnoliopsida; Caryophyllales; Amaranthaceae. The record is from Rfam.